MicroRNA precursor from Oryzias sinensis (Chinese medaka), 105 nucleotides. Ensembl annotates it as microRNA 301b. Its record names the gene mir301b. The record is from Ensembl. NCBI's taxonomy places the organism in Eukaryota, Metazoa, Chordata, Actinopteri, Beloniformes, Adrianichthyidae.
CUGACACAUGCUGAGGUCAGCUGCUCUGACAAUGUUGCACUACUGUACCAUCCAUUCUAGCAGUGCAAUAGUAUUGUCAUAGCAUUUGGCCUCAGCUCGCUCUAG